UGGCUCUCUCGGGAGCAUGUGCACACUUGUCAUCUUUAUAUCUCCACCUGUGCACCUUUUGUAGAUCUGGAUAUCUUUCUGAAUGCCUGGCAUUCAGGUUUGAGAAUUGACUUUUUGUCUUUCCUUACAUUUCCAGGCCUAUGUUUUCUUCAUAUACACCAUUAUGUUAUAGAAUGUAAUGAAAGGCCUUUGUGCCUACAAACUUUAUACAACUUUCAGCAACGGAUCUCUUGGCUCUCGCAUCGAUGAAGAACGCAGCGAAAUGCGAUAAGUAAUGUGAAUUGCAGAAUUCAGUGAAUCAUCGAAUCUUUGAACGCACCUUGCGCUCCUUGGUAUUCCGAGGAGCAUGCCUGUUUGAGUGUCAUUAAUAUAUCAACCUCCUCAGGUUUUUACUUGUCGAGUGUUUGGAUGUGGGGGUUUCUUUUGCUGGUCUCUUUGAGGUCGGCUCCCCUAAAAUGCAUUAGCGGAACAAUUUGUUGACCCGUUCAUUGGUGUGAUAAUAUCUACGCUUUUGACGUGAAACAGGUUCAGCUUCUAACAGUCCAUUGACUUGGACAAUUUUUCAUUAAUGUGACC
Molecule: ribosomal RNA, 576 nt
Filed under: ectomycorrhizal root tip 7_Ny1.O-3.2
Lineage: Eukaryota; Fungi
Description: eukaryotic LSU rRNA
Rfam family: 5.8S ribosomal RNA (bases 211-364)
Source: RNAcentral